This 435-nucleotide ribosomal RNA is filed under the name Triticum aestivum (bread wheat). Its description in RNAcentral is "partial small subunit ribosomal RNA". The record is from RNAcentral. Lineage: Eukaryota; Viridiplantae; Streptophyta; Magnoliopsida; Poales; Poaceae.
AAGAGUUACUUGGACGUUGGCGCCUGUGACGAUGUUGGGCUUGUCGAAUGGCUUGCCCUCGGCCUUGCGCCUGUUCUGCCACCGCUUCUUGAAGGCCAGCCCCGCCAGCAUGAUGGCCUCCGACGACCCCACCGUGCCCACGCCCACGGCCGUCUCCGACUCGCCCAGCGGCGCGUGGAAGAGAUGCGCGAUCAUGUUCACGCACCGGUUGAGCUCGGUGGUGACGGGGUACUCGUCCAUGUGCACGUAGUUCUUGUUGAUGGAGGCCAUGAUGAGCUUGUCGCACUCGGGCUCCAUCCACGUCGUCACGAACGACGCCAGGUUCAGCCGCGGGUUGCCGUCGAGCAUCAGUUCGUCGUUGAUGAUCUGGUACGCCGCCUCCUUGGGGAUCGACUUCUCCGGCAUACGGUACCUGUCCACCAGCCGGUCGAUUAG